UUCCAACAGUAGCAAACACAGUAGGAUAAUUAAACACAAUAAAGCUCAAAAAUUGGUGACCAAGGAAAGAAGCAAGAUUCCAAUGAGGAACAGAAAGGAAUAGCAGUGGGCUCUCAGCUCCACCCUAUCAGCAUUCCCCAGAAGCCAUACUGAUGUGUUAAUGAAAUCCUGCAAAUUCUCACUAAUAGCUCCAGAUCUGAAAAGAAGCAAACUGAGUACCUAUCUGUACACUUAUCUUCUGACUGAGAAGCAGUGGAAACACUGCUGAGGAGUAAGUGAUGCACCAGGGAAAAUGAACAAUUUUCCCUGAGGCUGACUCUAACAGAAACAAAAGAUCUGACCUUAAACAAUGAACAGGUGAAAUAAGGUGAAGCUAGAGACUUCCAUAGGAAUGGGGUAACUCCUUAGGUAUAUAGAAUGAAACAAGAAUGUUUAACAGAAUCUUGGGAA
RNAcentral lists this long non-coding RNA (450 nucleotides) under Bos taurus (domestic cattle). Its description in RNAcentral is "long non-coding RNA NONBTAT018949". Lineage: Eukaryota; Metazoa; Chordata; Mammalia; Artiodactyla; Bovidae. The record is from RNAcentral.